Molecule: transfer RNA, 64 nt
Filed under: Cavia porcellus (domestic guinea pig)
Lineage: Eukaryota; Metazoa; Chordata; Mammalia; Rodentia; Caviidae
Rfam family: tRNA
About the family: Transfer RNA (tRNA) molecules are approximately 80 nucleotides in length.
Source: Rfam by way of RNAcentral
GGGGAUUUAGCUCAGCGGUGUGAGCAUCUGCCUUGCAAGCAGGCAGUCCUGAGUUCGAUCCCCG